AGGGGGAUGUAGCUCAACUGGGAGAGCGCUGCCCUUGCAAGGCAGAGGUUAGCGGUUCGAUCCCGCUCAUCUCCA
RNAcentral lists this transfer RNA (75 nucleotides) under Candidatus Kuenenia stuttgartensis. RNAcentral describes it as "Candidatus Kuenenia stuttgartiensis tRNA-Ala". It matches the Rfam family "tRNA". Rfam says of the family: Transfer RNA (tRNA) molecules are approximately 80 nucleotides in length. Their secondary structure includes four short double-helical elements and three loops (D, anti-codon, and T loops). Lineage: Bacteria; Pseudomonadati; Planctomycetota; Candidatus Brocadiia; Candidatus Brocadiales; Candidatus Brocadiaceae. The record is from RNAcentral.